GCCUUUUAUGCAAUUACAUAAAGUUUUGAUACUUUUGUGUAUUUGCACUUUGGCCCAAAAGUUUAUGUUUUUACGUUUAGGUCCAAAAACGCUAAAGGACAAAUUGUUUUGCUCCUUUAAUGAAGUUUUUACAUUGUUUAAUUUUUGGGUUCUAGUGUAAUUACAUGAAGUAGUGGACUUUUGUGUUCUUACAAAGAGUGACCCCAAAAGUUUAUGUUUUUGCAAUAUUGCCCAAAGGUUGUGGUAAUUGCAUUUUGGCCCAAAUUAGGUAGAGAACAAAAUUGUUUUGUCUCUUUAAAUGAGAAUUGGAUUUUCAUUUCAUUUAACUCCAUUUAAAUCACUUUUAUGGAUACAAAAACCAAAUGAAAAUGUUGCAUUCAAUUUAAUUAGUUAAAGUGUUAAUUAAUUAAAGGAUGAUUAUGAACCCAAGCCUAAUAUAAUUGAGCU
Molecule: long non-coding RNA, 447 nt
Filed under: Malus domestica (apple)
Lineage: Eukaryota; Viridiplantae; Streptophyta; Magnoliopsida; Rosales; Rosaceae
Description: long non-coding RNA (MDOM_LNC000196)
Source: RNAcentral